RNAcentral lists this unclassified non-coding RNA (2862 nucleotides) under Homo sapiens (human). Its description in RNAcentral is "ATP binding cassette subfamily F member 1 (ENSG00000206490.11, ENSG00000232169.9, ENSG00000236149.9)". The record is from RNAcentral. Lineage: Eukaryota; Metazoa; Chordata; Mammalia; Primates; Hominidae.
UGCUCAUCUUAGCAAAAAGGAGAAGAAAAAGCUGAAAAAACAGAUGGAGUAUGAGCGCCAAGUGGCUUCAUUAAAAGCAGCCAAUGCAGCUGAAAAUGACUUCUCCGUGUCCCAGGCGGAGAUGUCCUCCCGCCAAGCCAUGUUAGAAAAUGCAUCUGACAUCAAGCUGGAGAAGUUCAGCAUCUCCGCUCAUGGCAAGGAGCUGUUCGUCAAUGCAGACCUGUACAUUGUAGCCGGCCGCCGCUACGGGCUGGUAGGACCCAAUGGCAAGGGCAAGACCACACUCCUCAAGCACAUUGCCAACCGAGCCCUGAGCAUCCCUCCCAACAUUGAUGUGUUGCUGUGUGAGCAGGAGGUGGUAGCAGAUGAGACACCAGCAGUCCAGGCUGUUCUUCGAGCUGACACCAAGCGAUUGAAGCUGCUGGAAGAGGAGCGGCGGCUUCAGGGACAGCUGGAACAAGGGGAUGACACAGCUGCUGAGAGGCUAGAGAAGGUGUAUGAGGAAUUGCGGGCCACUGGGGCGGCAGCUGCAGAGGCCAAAGCACGGCGGAUCCUGGCUGGCCUGGGCUUUGACCCUGAAAUGCAGAAUCGACCCACACAGAAGUUCUCAGGGGGCUGGCGCAUGCGUGUCUCCCUGGCCAGGGCACUGUUCAUGGAGCCCACACUGCUGAUGCUGGAUGAGCCCACCAACCACCUGGACCUCAACGCUGUCAUCUGGCUUAAUAACUACCUCCAGGGCUGGCGGAAGACCUUGCUGAUCGUCUCCCAUGACCAGGGCUUCUUGGAUGAUGUCUGCACUGAUAUCAUCCACCUCGAUGCCCAGCGGCUCCACUACUAUAGGGGCAAUUACAUGACCUUCAAAAAGAUGUACCAGCAGAAGCAGAAAGAACUGCUGAAACAGUAUGAGAAGCAAGAGAAAAAGCUGAAGGAGCUGAAGGCAGGCGGGAAGUCCACCAAGCAGGCGGAAAAACAAACGAAGGAAGCCCUGACUCGGAAGCAGCAGAAAUGCCGACGGAAAAACCAAGAUGAGGAAUCCCAGGAGGCCCCUGAGCUCCUGAAGCGCCCUAAGGAGUACACUGUGCGCUUCACUUUUCCAGACCCCCCACCACUCAGCCCUCCAGUGCUGGGUCUGCAUGGUGUGACAUUCGGCUACCAGGGACAGAAACCACUCUUUAAGAACUUGGAUUUUGGCAUCGACAUGGAUUCAAGGAUUUGCAUUGUGGGCCCUAAUGGUGUGGGGAAGAGUACGCUACUCCUGCUGCUGACUGGCAAGCUGACACCGACCCAUGGGGAAAUGAGAAAGAACCACCGGCUGAAAAUUGGCUUCUUCAACCAGCAGUAUGCAGAGCAGCUGCGCAUGGAGGAGACGCCCACUGAGUACCUGCAGCGGGGCUUCAACCUGCCCUACCAGGAUGCCCGCAAGUGCCUGGGCCGCUUCGGCCUGGAGAGUCACGCCCACACCAUCCAGAUCUGCAAACUCUCUGGUGGUCAGAAGGCGCGAGUUGUGUUUGCUGAGCUGGCCUGUCGGGAACCUGAUGUCCUCAUCUUGGACGAGCCAACCAAUAACCUGGACAUAGAGUCUAUUGAUGCUCUAGGGGAGGCCAUCAAUGAAUACAAGGGUGCUGUGAUCGUUGUCAGCCAUGAUGCCCGACUCAUCACAGAAACCAAUUGCCAGCUGUGGGUGGUGGAGGAGCAGAGUGUUAGCCAAAUCGAUGGUGACUUUGAAGACUACAAGCGGGAGGUGUUGGAGGCCCUGGGUGAAGUCAUGGUCAGCCGGCCCCGAGAGUGAAGCUUUCCUUCCCAGAAGUCUCCCGAGAGACAUAUUUGUGUGGCCUAGAAGUCCUCUGUGGUCUCCCCUCCUCUGAAGACUGCCUCUGGCCUGCAGCUGACCUGGCAACCAUUCAGGCACAUGAAGGUGGAGUGUGACCUUGAUGUGACCGGGAUCCCACUCUGAUUGCAUCCAUUUCUCUGAAAGACUUGUUUGUUCUGCUUCUCUUCAUAUAACUGAGCUGGCCUUAUCCUUGGCAUCCCCCUAAACAAACAAGAGGUGACCACCUUAUUGUGAGGUUCCAUCCAGCCAAGUUUAUGUGGCCUAUUGUCUCAGGACUCUCAUCACUCAGAAGCCUGCCUCUGAUUUACCCUACAGCUUCAGGCCCAGCUGCCCCCCAGUCUUUGGGUGGUGCUGUUCUUUUCUGGUGGAUUUAAUGCUGACUCACUGGUACAAACAGCUGUUGAAGCUCAGAGCUGGAGACGGAGUCUUGCUCUGUCGCCAUCCUGGAAUGCAGUAGCGUUAUCUCGGCUCACUGCAACCUCUGCCUCCUGGAUUCAAGCGAUUCCCCUGCCUCAGCCUCCCAAGUAGCUGGGACUACAGGUGCGUGCCACCACUCCCGGCUAAUUUUUUUUUUUUUUUUGAGACAGAGUCUUGCUCUGUCGCCCAGGCUGGAGUGCAGUGGCGCGAUCUCUGCUCGCUGCAAGCUCCACCUCCCGGGUUCAUGCCAUUCUCCUGCCUCAGUCUCCUCAGUAGCUGGGAUUACAGGCACCCGCCACCACACCCACCUAAGUUUUUGUAUUUUUAGUAGAGAAGGGGUUUCACCUUGUUAGCCAGGAUGGUCUCCAUCUCCUGACCUCAUGAUCUGCCCGCUUCGGCCUCCCAAAGUGCUGGGAUUACAGGCGUGAGCCACCGCGCCUGGCAAUUUUUGUAUUUUUAAUAGAGACGGGGUUUCACCAUGUUGGCUAGGAUGGUCUCCAUCUCCUGACCUUGGGAUUUGCCCGCCUCGGCCUCCCAGAGUGUUGGGAUUACAGGUGUGAGCCACCGCGCUCGGCCGAGCUUAUUCUUAAAAUACAGUAAAAACUUUAAGCUCU